GGGAGUAGUUUAGUGGUAAAACAUCAGCUUCCCAAGCUGAAUUUGGGGGUUCGAUUCCCCUCUUCCG
This 67-nucleotide transfer RNA is filed under the name bovine gut metagenome. It matches the Rfam family "tRNA". Rfam says of the family: Transfer RNA (tRNA) molecules are approximately 80 nucleotides in length. Their secondary structure includes four short double-helical elements and three loops (D, anti-codon, and T loops). The record is from RNAcentral.